Molecule: ribosomal RNA, 336 nt
Filed under: uncultured bacterium
Lineage: Bacteria
Description: bacterial SSU rRNA
Rfam family: Bacterial small subunit ribosomal RNA
Source: RNAcentral
CACGUGGACAAUCUGCCCCCCGGCCCGGGAUAGCCCAGGGGAAACCUGGGAUUAAUACCGGAUGAGACGGGACCCGCGAUGGCGGGAUCCGGGAAAGGCGCUGCGGCGCCGCCGGGGGAUGANUCUGCGUCCCAUUAGCUAGACGGCGGGGUAACGGCCCACCGUGGCGACGAUGGGUAGCCGGCCUGAGAGGGUGGACGGCCACAUUGGAACUGAGACACGGUCCAGACUCCUACGGGAGGCAGCAGCUAAGAAUCUUCCGCAAUGGGCGAAAGCCUGACGGAGCGACGCCGCGUGAACGAAGAAGGCCGUGAGGUUGUAAAGUUCUUUUCGGGA